Molecule: ribosomal RNA, 460 nt
Filed under: uncultured bacterium
Lineage: Bacteria
Description: partial 16S ribosomal RNA
Rfam family: Bacterial small subunit ribosomal RNA
Source: RNAcentral
CCUACGGGAGGCAGCAGUGAGGAAUAUUGGUCAAUGGACGAGAGUCUGAACCAGCCAAGUAGCGUGAAGGAUGACUGCCCUAUGGUUUGUAAACUUCUUUUAUAUGGGAAUAAAAUGUUCCACGUGUGGGUAUUUGUAUGUACCAUAUGAAUAAGGAUCGGCUAACUCCGUGCCAGCAGCCGCGGUAAUACGGAGGAUUCGAGCGUUAUCCGGAUUUAUUGGGUUUAAAGGGAGCGUAGGUGGUUUGUUAAGUCAGUUGUGAAAGUUUGUGGCUCAACCGUAAAAUUGCCGUUGAAACUGGAAGUCUUGAGUAUAGUAGAGGUAGGCGGAAUUCGUGGUGUAGCGGUGAAAUGCAUAGAUAUCACGAAGAACUCCGAUUGCGAAGGCAGCUCACUAGACUACAACUGACACUGAGGCUCGAAAGUGUGGGUAUCAAACAGGAUUAGAUACCCCAGUAGUC